UACGGAGAGUGCAAGCAUUAAUCGGAAUUAUUGGGCGUAAAGGGCGCGUAGGCGGAUAUAUAAGUCAGAUGUGAAAUUCCGAAGCUCAACUUCGGAGCUGCAUUUGAAACUAUAAAUCUUGAGGGUUGACGGAGAAAACGGAAUUCCACGUGUAGCGGUGAAAUGCGUAGAUAUGUGGAAGAACACCUGUGGCGAAAGCGGUUUUCUAGUUUAUACCUGACGCUGAGGCGCGAGAGCAAGGGGAGCAAAC
RNAcentral lists this ribosomal RNA (250 nucleotides) under uncultured bacterium. RNAcentral's name for it is "partial 16S ribosomal RNA". It matches the Rfam family "Bacterial small subunit ribosomal RNA", at positions 524 to 773 of the family's 1533-position model. The record is from RNAcentral.